RNAcentral lists this long non-coding RNA (588 nucleotides) under Vitis vinifera (wine grape). RNAcentral's name for it is "long non-coding RNA (VVIN_LNC001692)". Lineage: Eukaryota; Viridiplantae; Streptophyta; Magnoliopsida; Vitales; Vitaceae. The record is from RNAcentral.
UAUCUUCCACUAGCUGAAGGAACCUCAAAUGCUUGAAUAUGUGCCUCAGCUACAUCUUUAACAUUAACCCAUCCAAAGGAUGCAUUGGGAAAUGUUUGUCCUCCUGUAUUAGGGGGAAAAAUGCAUGAACAAAGAAAAGAAAAAUCUCAUGUUAUACUACUGCCAAAACCUUAAGCUUCUGCAUCAAAUAUUUUGAGAAGAACUUGAAUGGUUUUAGAGCAAAUUGAAUAUUCAAAUUGUACUAUAUAAAUUUCUUUUAUUUUCCAUUCUUCUCUCACAAAAUGGUAUAAUAUAAAUCAGGGAAGAGAGAAAGAGGUUAGCAUAGAAUUACUAAGGCUUCCUAAUGAACAAAAAUAAUUGGCAAGCACAUAUUUCAGAAUACUGCUGAAUUACGAGUUGCCCUUUUUGAGGAUUUAAUGAGAAGGAUAUUUAUUUAACGAAACAGAGAUAUACCAUUUAUGAGAUUCAAAAUUGCAGCAGCACUUGUAUUAAGUGUUGGCUGUAAAAGAGGACCAAUCACCAUUGCUGGGUUUAUAGUGACCAUGUCAAUACCCUUCUCUUUUGCAAAUUUCCAUGCAGCAUCCUCAG